ACUCAAAUGAAUAGACGGGGGCUCACACAAGCGGUGGAGCAUGUGGCUUAAUUCGAGGCUACGCGAAGAACCUUAUCCUAGGCUUGACAUGUGCGAAAGCGCUGGGGAGUAGCGAGCGGAAACGUUUCGCCAACGGUAUCCAGUCCGGAACCCAGUACAGGUGCUGCAUGGCUGUCGUCAGCUCGUGUCGUGAGAUGUCGGGUUAAGUCCCAUAACGAGCGAAACCCUUGUCCGCAGUUGCCAGCAGUUCGGCUGGGGACUCUGCGGAGACUGCCGGCGUCAAGCCGGAGGAAGGUGGGGAUGACGUCAAGUCCUCAUGGCCUUUAUGCCUAGGGCUGCACACGUGCUACAAUGGCGUGAACAAAGGGAAGCCAACGCGCGAGCGGGAGCCAAUCCCAAAAAACACGCCCCAGUUCAGAUCGGAGGCUGCAACUCGCCUCCGUGAAGUUGGAAUCGCUAGUAAUCGCGGGUCAGCAACACCGCGGUGAAUGUGUUCCUGAGCCUUGCACACACCGCCCGU
This 520-nucleotide ribosomal RNA is filed under the name uncultured bacterium. RNAcentral's name for it is "partial 16S ribosomal RNA". It matches the Rfam family "Bacterial small subunit ribosomal RNA", at positions 899 to 1397 of the family's 1533-position model. The record is from RNAcentral.